CCUACGGGUGGCAGCAGUGGGGAAUAUUGGGCAAUGGGCGCAAGCCUGACCCAGCAACGCCGCGUGAAUGAUGAAGGUUUUCGGAUUGUAAACUUCUGUCGCUAGGGACGAAGAAUGACGGUACCUCGGAAGAAAGCACCGGCUAACUACGUGCCAGCAGCCGCGGUAAUACGUAGGGGGCAAGCGUUGUCCGGAAUGACUGGGCGAAAAGGGAGUGUAGGCGGCUCAUCAAGUUAGAUGUGAAAUCCCGCGGUUUAACCGCGGAACUGCAUCUAAAACUGGUAAGCUGGAGUGCAGGAGGGGUGAGUAGAAUUCCAAGUGUAGCGGUGGAAUGCGUAGAUAUUAGGAGGAACACCAGAGGCGAAGGCGACUCACUGGACUGUAACUGACGCUGAGGCUCGAAAGCGUGGGGAGCAAACAGGAUUAGAUACCCCAGUAGUC
This 441-nucleotide ribosomal RNA is filed under the name uncultured bacterium. RNAcentral describes it as "partial 16S ribosomal RNA". It matches the Rfam family "Bacterial small subunit ribosomal RNA", at positions 338 to 795 of the family's 1533-position model. The record is from RNAcentral.